RNAcentral lists this ribosomal RNA (466 nucleotides) under uncultured bacterium. Its description in RNAcentral is "SSU rRNA". It matches the Rfam family "Bacterial small subunit ribosomal RNA", at positions 26 to 518 of the family's 1533-position model. The record is from RNAcentral.
AGAACGAACGCUGGCGGCAUGCCUAACACAUGCAAGUCGAACGCUUACGAGGGUUUCGGCCCUUGUGGGAGUGGCGCACGGGUGAGUAACGCGUGGGAACCUGCCCCUUUGUGGGGGAUAACCGAGGGAAACUUCGGCUAAUACCGCAUGCGCCCCGGAGUGAUCCGGGGGAAAGAUUUAUCGCAGAGGGAGGGGCCCGCGUCGGAUUAGCUAGUUGGUGGGGUAACGGCCCACCAAGGCACCGAUCGGUAGCUGGUUUGAGAGAACGACCAGCCACACUGGGACUGAGACACGGCCCAGACUCCUACGGGAGGCAGCAGUAGGGAAUCUUGGACAAUGGGGGAAACCCUGAUCCAGCCAUGCCGCGUGAGUGAUGAAGGCCUUCGGGUUGUAAAACUCUUUCGGUCGGGGACGAUAAUGACGGUACCGCAGAAGAAGCUCCGGCUAACUUCGCGCCAGCAGCCGC